CCUACGGGUGGCAGCAGUAGGGAAUAUUGCUCAAUGGAGGCAACCCUGAACCAGCAACGCCGCGUGAAGGAUGAAGGUUUUCGGAUUGUAAACUCCUUUUGUUAGAGAAGAUAAUGACGGUAUCUAACGAAUAAGCACCGGCUAACUCCGUGCCAGCAGCCGCGGUAAUACGACGGGGGCAACAGUUACUCGGAAUCACUGGGCGGAAAGAGCGCGUAGGCGGGAUAGCAAGUCAGAUGUGAAAUCCUAUGGCUUAACCAUAGAACUGCAUUUGAAACUGUUAUUCUUGAGUAUGGGAGAGGUAGGUGGAAUUCUUGGUGUAGGGGUAAAAUCCGUAGAGAUCAAGAGGAAUACUCAUUGCGAAGGCGACCUGCUAGAACAUAACUGACGCUGAUGCGCGAAAGCGUGGGGAGCAAACAGGAUUAGAUACCCCAGUAGUC
This 440-nucleotide ribosomal RNA is filed under the name uncultured bacterium. RNAcentral describes it as "partial 16S ribosomal RNA". It matches the Rfam family "Bacterial small subunit ribosomal RNA", at positions 338 to 795 of the family's 1533-position model. The record is from RNAcentral.